GGACCAGCGAGUCUGACUGACUGACAGAAGGUCGGGACCUUUUUGACGCUAAGCAAGCAAGCCCAGCUUGAUUGUAGCCGAUAAGAGAAAUGGCUUUGAGACCUUUCGCUGCCGAUGGACCUGUAGAACACUAUAACGGCAGACUACCGGUUCCGCGGCGAUGACCUGCGUCGUCGCUGCCACAAGUGCGCUCAUAUUCAAUUUCGUCAUCAGGUGAAGGAGGUGCAAGGCGUUGGUCAAGAACUUCUUCUGAUAAUGUGUUAUCCGUAGCCCAGGGAGAUGGUAGAGAGGGGAUGAUGUCCCCAGGAUGCUCUCCUUUGAUCACUUCCAAUGCUAUUACACCAAAGCUAUACACAUCACAUUUCUCGGUUACCUUCAUCGUGUAAGCAAGCUCUGCAUAAAAAUUUAAAUAAAUUCAACAAAUUUAUGAUGUAUUUUCUUGUAGAUACACAUUAUGGCUGGUUGAAGUAAUAGAACAAUGGAAUACGUUA
Tripterygium wilfordii is the source of this 491-nucleotide long non-coding RNA. RefSeq lists it as uncharacterized. The transcript is spliced from 2 exons. The record is from RefSeq and is a predicted model, not a curated record. NCBI's taxonomy places the organism in Eukaryota, Viridiplantae, Streptophyta, Magnoliopsida, Celastrales, Celastraceae.